UGGACCUCAAAUCAGACGGGGCUACCCGCUGAAUUUAAGCAUAUUAAUAAGCGGAGGAAAAGAAACUAACCAGGAUUCCCCUAGUAACGGCGAGUGAAGCGGGAAGAGCUCAAAUUUAAAAUCUUGGCGCUUCGCGUCAUGAAUUGUAGUUUUGAGAUGCUGUGUCUGUGUACAACCGGGUCCAAGUUCUUUGGAACAAGACAUCAGAGAGGGUGAGAAUCCCGUCUUUGGCCUGGCGCUGGCGCUGUACGAUACAGUUUCGAAGAGUCGCGUUGCUUGGGAAUGCAGCGCUAAAUGGGUGGUAAACUUCAUCUAAAGCUAAAUAUUGGCGAGAGACCGAUAGCGAACAAGUACCG
Molecule: ribosomal RNA, 356 nt
Filed under: Planomonas micra
Lineage: Eukaryota; Ancyromonadida; Planomonadidae
Description: eukaryotic LSU rRNA
Rfam family: Eukaryotic large subunit ribosomal RNA
Source: RNAcentral